RNAcentral lists this ribosomal RNA (466 nucleotides) under uncultured bacterium. RNAcentral describes it as "bacterial SSU rRNA". It matches the Rfam family "Bacterial small subunit ribosomal RNA", at positions 28 to 481 of the family's 1533-position model. The record is from RNAcentral.
GAUGAACGCUAGCGACAGGCUUAACACAUGCAAGUCGAGGGGCAGCGAGGGCGUAGCAAUACGCCUGUCGGCGACCGGCGCACUGGUGAGUAACACGUAUGCGACCUGCCCCCUACAGGGGUAUAACCCGUAGAAAUGCGGACUAAUCCCCCAUAGUCCUGGGUGCUGCAUGGCAUUCAGGGGAAAGGCCAGCCGGUAGGGGAUGGGCAUGCGGCGCAUUAGCUAGUUGGCGGGGCAACGGCCCACCAAGGCGACGAUGCGUAGGGGUUCUGAGAGGAAGGUCCCCCCANACUGGUACUGAGACACGGACCAGACUCCUACGGGAGGCAGCAGUGAGGAAUAUUGGUCAAUGGGCGCAGGCCUGAACCAGCCAAGUCGCGUGAGGGAAGACGGUCCUACGGGAUUGUAAACCUCUUUUUGUCCGGGGGAGUAACGGUGCGGGAGCGUCCCGUAUUGAGAGUACCCG